GAGAAAACCUUUUGUAGUGAUAAACACCCAUUUUUAAUAAUAUAUAAUAUAAUAUAUAAUAAUAAUAUAAUAUAUAUACCUCUCCUUGAGCACUGCGAGCUCAGUGCUGUCUUGGUAAUCAUGAACUUGCAAACUUGUCUUUGAGAAGUCUCUCUUACCAGUCCGUUUAUACGCUAAUUAAGGACAAUGGGAUUACACUACUCAAUGGGCCAUGUGGCAAGGGAGUGACAUAGGGAACCCGCUCUUUAAAUGAUACUGUUCACCUAAGGUAGCAACGAACAAGGGGGAGAAGGCUGGAGAGCUGCCGAGGAUUCACAGCCAAUGGGGGAUAAACACCUCUGAAAAUCAGGCCACAAGUUGUUUAUUAUUAUUUAGUCACACACCAAGACUCCACUGUGCUAGGCGCUGUACAAACACAGAACAGAAAGGUGGUCCCUGCUCAAAGGGGCUCACUCCUGCAAGAUCCACAGCAAUGUUUCUGUAGGGUCUUCCACGCUGUCCAUGUAUUGGAUUGGAUUUGAAUGACCUAUUUUAAGAACACCCUGCAAAGGGAUGUAUCUAUCUGCAUGAUGGAGAAGUCUAUUGGGAAACAAAUCCACUGUUGUCUGAAGCAAAACUGCCGAAAAGUCUAAAUUGGAAUUUCUAGUGCUAUUGUAUAUUUUGCUUUUCUCCCUCUGUUUCCCCCCAUCCCUUAUAUGAAUAAUACUUGGCACUUUGAAUCUUCAGAGAUAACUGUUUCCUUUGCCCCUGUGAAGUGGGUUAGUUUAUCUGCAUUUUGUUAUAGGAGAGAGCGGCCCAAAGUCAUGCAGCGAGGCAGUGCGCCUGAGAGCCUGUCCAACCACUAGGCAACACGCCCGCACUAAAACAAUGUGAUUUUAAAUCGGUAACAACUCUUGGCACUUCCAGAGCAUGUUACAAUGUUCAGAGUGGUUUAAAGGCUGGAUGUUUAAUUCAGUGUAGUCAUUAAAUGCUGGUUUACUAAUUGCAGCUCCAACACUUAAGGGAUUAAUCCUUGUGCACCUGAGCAGGCCCCUUGAAUUCUGUUCCCGCCUGCAGGGUGAAUGAGUGGCUCAGUUGUCUGUGUUUGUAUCAGUUGUUCACUCCCCUGGAGUUUUGCACCUGCGCCUUUAACACUGGCUCUGCCCGGCCCCCUUUCAGCAGGGAAGGCAGAGCCUGAGCUGGGAGAAUUUGCAGCUGCUUCUGAGGGUCUGUGCUGGGUGGCCAGGAGGGAGGAGGCACAAAGGGCCAGGAGCCAGGCUGUUCCCACCUUGCACAGCAGGGGCUGGGCUGAGAUGGCUGAGGAGCCACGCAGCACCCUAGCUGUCGGCCGAAGGAGCAGGAGAGUGAGGAAGAAAAGAAACUUUUCUCCUGAAGUGGAAAUUGUGGUGAAAGGGAGAAAAGUGAGCAGGGGGGAUUGUGCAGCUGGCCAGGGCAGACAAGAUUCCGGGACUGGGCGCGGAGUCUGCUGCGACCUCUGCAGCUCUCCUUACAUCGUCGACCCCGGCCGCAGAGGCAACCAGCUGAAGACCUCUAGCUCUCUGCCUUCUCCGCGCCACAAGCGGGAUCCCAGGACAGGUGCUGACGCUCUGCAAGGUCUGACACUUAGCAGGCCUCGGAGCACUCCGAACCCUGUGAAGGAUCCUGGGCUGGACGAGAGGAAGCGGCAUGAAGAGCAGCUGCAGGCGUUUGGACGGUCCAUGGUGGAGCUGCUCGGGGACCAGGAUGGGAGCAAGCUCUGCUGUCCUGCCUACACCAGGAAACCCUGCCUCUGCCUCCAGAAUUAUCUCAAAGCCCCAGGGCUGGGCGAGAGCGAGAACCGUACACGAGCCCUCGAGUUCUUGAAGUUGCUGGAGGAAUCCAAGCAACUGAAAGCCGUGAAGUUCUGCAGCGACGGGGCCAGCCAGAAAGCCAGGGAGCCCAGGAGGAGGAGAGCCUUCGGGCUGGGAAGCGGCCAGCGGAGGUCCCUAGCCUUCGAGGACUUUGUCCUGAAGAACCGGAGGGUGUUGCGUGAAGAGCUGAAACUAUGCGAGAGAGCCACGCAAAGGAUUCUGGGAUACUCCAACAACUUCCUGCAUAAGAAGCUCAAAACUAGCAGCCAGAAGCCCGCCAGAGCUGAGCGGAAGAAGGGGAAAGGAGCUCUGGGGCUCCUCAAGCCCAUUGCAGAAGUUGGCGAAAAGAAGUGCUGUGCGGACAACUGCACAGUGAUGGCCCACACCUACGGCCAGCUGCUGCAGCGCUGGAGGGAUCGAGCAUUAAUGGGCCAGUCAGAGGCCCGCCGAGUCCUAGCCGAAAUGCUAAUGCCCUCAGGGGGCUGUAGGCGUAACUGUUACCACUUCAUAUCCUGGGUGACCGGCUCCAGCCCGAGCACCGUUAGCAAGGUUAACGAGCAGAUGAAGAGGCUGGGGGGGAGAUAGGGAGCCCCCUCCGCACAAACUCAAGCAGUGGAGGAAGGAGAACCCCAAGCCGAACAAGAAGGGUUCUGAUGCUGGGGAGAGAGCGCAACCCAGUCAGGCACCAUCGCUGGCUUCCCCCUCCACAGCUGGUUCCCAGGAGCUGCCUUCAGCCUCGGUCCAUGGGCCAGCCUCAGCUGGCGAGCCACCCACCUCUGGAACUGGCGCUCUGGACCCCUGCCCCCCCGCCGCAGGCCAUGCUUGUCUCUAGCAUUGUCUCAACACCACCUGGCACUGUGGGGGAGAUGACAUCACCUUGUACCAGAAGGCCAGCUGACACGUUCUCUCCUGCACUGGCUGCUGCUCCAAAAGCUGCAUCAGCUUCUCUCGCCCUCUCGAGCCCCCUGCCGCACAGAGCCCAGACUGAGCAGCAGCAUCCACAGACACUUGGCUACCCGAGGGAUCCAGCCCACCCUGUGCAGCCUUCACCCCGGCCCAGUCUCUGCCUCGCUCUCAGCUUCUUGGUCCGGACUCCGGGAUGCGUCCAGCCCAUCAGCAGAUGCAGGGAGCAGAGGAACUAUGGAAAGGCCAAGAGCUGCAGCCUCCUUUGAUCCUGAUGGGGCAAGCAACGGCGCUGUUCCAGGAUCCAUUAACGCAGGGGGCCGGUUUCUUGGUGCUGUGAGGGGCCCGCUGCCCACCCAAGAACCGAGGCUCCCAUCCCAGCUGGCAGGAGGUGUCAAGACCCGACGGCCGGUAACAGCCUUUCUGAGCUUCCCCCUUCACCUCCCCUUAGCGUUUCUGGUGGACUUGCCCUUUACCCCACUGCUCACGCUCGUAGCCCGGCUCCAUGCUGCUAGCUCCAGGCUCUGACUGUUCUGCCCUUCGCUCAGCCCGAGGGGGCGCCACCUUCCCAGCCAGUCUGGGGGAAUGAGAGGCUGGGAGUCAGUCCUAGGGCUCCUGUCUGCUGGUGCAGAAUGCUAACCACAAAUCCCCUCCACUCCCUGGGCCAGCCCCGCUGCAGUCUGACUCUGUAGCAGGAGCCUGCGCAGGGUUAAGCAUUCGGUUCCCCCUUGGCCUGGCAAGAGAGGCUGCUGGUGUGAUGACAGUGCAGACAUGCAGCUGUCCCUCCUGCAGAAUCUCAAACCCCUUCUCCGCUGCCCACCAGAGGGCAAUGGAAAUGUCAGGCAUCUGACCCCACCUCCCCCGUUUCCAAAGGGCUGGGCAUUGCCUACAGCCUCGGCGUGCGCUGUUCCUCUCUGCUUGGAGAAUCCCAUCCUUCCGCGGUUCUCUUCUGCCUUGGUCCGUACCUGAGGGCUAGCUGUAAGGGCUGUCCCUAGCCUAAUUACCGCGCCUCUGCUUUGUGUCUCCGCAGCUUGCCCUCCCCAGCAGCCUCCAUCCUCCUCGUUAGCAGCGCACGGGGUUGCCCCAGUGCUCCUGGGGGCUGGAGCGUGGGUUGCAGAACGCAGUUUGCCAGCUCAGCUGCGGGGGCUGCUCUCAGCUCCACAGGCAAAUGCCGCCUGCUUCAUAGUGAAAGCUGAAGGACAGCACGCGUGUGGGGAGGCUAAGAUCACUGUUCACCUGGGCUGGCCACUGACUUUAUGCUGUCCUGGGUAGGGCCAACAACGUCCAGCCCUGACCGCACUGGCACGUAGGGGGUUCCCUGCUAUUCAGCAGUCCUCUGGUUAUUGAUAUGGUCUCACUACCAGCAAGCAAAUCCAGAGUGUCUGGCCCACAGAGGGGAGCGUCCAAUGGCUGACCUAAAGCUAGUGUGAAAAGGCAGCCGUGAAGAGUCAAACAGCCGUGCUGGGCCUGGGGAUCUGAGGCCACCCUUGCAAGUCCUGUCUCCCUGGAGAGGAUUCAAAGGCCAUCGCUUCAGGUAGGGGUCAGAAUUCUAACUGGCGCGGCUCUUGACUUCUGAAACCGAGUCCGCCGGCUGCAUGCCCAAAGGGAGAGAGGCCGGGGCCCUGGAGCAGGUGUGUGUGAAAGCAGUUCAAUGUAUGACCAACCUGGUACCUGGACAGGAGUGUGCACAGCUUGGGUGGGGACUUGGCUCUCGGUCCCUUAAGGGAGGACUGAAUUGCAUGGGGUGAGAGAGGCCUCCUUUGGGGGAGUGGGCUGUCCCAUUGCAGCUUGCGUCUCUGUGACUGCCCUGUAGGACAGACAGUUCAAGCACUUGUUUGGAGACAGAAACCAGUCAUGGGCCUGUCAUCAUUGGCUGGGAGAGCUAGUUACUGUUCCCCAAGAGCCCUGCAGCAGGGGCUGUUUGUUUGCAUUGACGGCCCAAUGCUUUGACUGAGACCCAGGAAGCUCCUAAACAUCUGCUUAAACUUUAGCAUGUGCACUUUCCCCAGGCAGGGCUUUGCUUGCACUGCUGGUGGAGUUCUCUGAAAAGACACAACACCCAAAGGCCUUGGUUCCUGCCUUCUCUCCUGGGCUGGGAGCCCUCAGCCCAGACAAGGGGCUGCUGUGUUCUAGUGAAGCAGCAGAAAGUUACUCUUGGCCUGGAAGUUUGGACCACAAAUGUUUAUUAAGCACAACCCCUCCCCCCCCCAAGCCCUCUGUAUUUCUAUAUAUUAAUUCAUUUGGCAGAUUAUUAUUUUUUAAGGAAAAAACAAGUACCUGGUGGGUUAAAAUUCCCUCUUAAAAUGACAUUAGCAAAUGCACAUGUAAAAAAUAAAUAAGCUCAUACAUUCAA
Chelonia mydas (Green sea turtle) is the source of this 5085-nucleotide RNA transcript. RefSeq lists it as uncharacterized. The record is from RefSeq and is a predicted model, not a curated record. NCBI's taxonomy places the organism in Eukaryota, Metazoa, Chordata, Testudines, Cheloniidae. The transcript has 13 exons.